Molecule: small nuclear RNA, 21 nt
Filed under: Arabidopsis thaliana (thale cress)
Lineage: Eukaryota; Viridiplantae; Streptophyta; Magnoliopsida; Brassicales; Brassicaceae
Description: snRNA_09921
Source: RNAcentral
AGAGCUCCAAGUGGGCCAUUU